AUUGAACGCUAGCGGGAUGCUUUACACAUGCAAGUCGAACGGCAGCGCGGACUUCGGUCUGGCGGCGAGUGGCGAACGGGUGAGUAAUGUAUCGGAACGUGCCCAGUAGCGGGGGAUAACUACGCGAAAGCGUAGCUAAUACCGCAUACGCCCUACGGGGGAAAGCAGGGGAUCGUAAGACCUUUCACUAUUGUAGCUUCCGAUAUCGGAUUUGCUAGUUGGUGAGGUAACGGCUCACCAAGGCGACGAUCCGUAGCUGGUUUGAGAGGACGACCAGCCAAAGUGGAAGUGAGACAGGGAAAAGAGUACUAAGGGAGGCAGCAGGGGGGAAGUUUGGACAAUGGGGGCAAACAUGAUCAAGCAAUACCGAGUGGGAGAUGAAGGCCUUAGGGUUGUAAAGCACUGUUGGCAGGAAAGAAAAGAAGAGGGCUAAUAACAAGGGGAAAUGACGGUACCGGAAGAAUAAGCACCGGCUAACUACGUG
Molecule: ribosomal RNA, 484 nt
Filed under: uncultured bacterium
Lineage: Bacteria
Description: partial 16S ribosomal RNA
Rfam family: Bacterial small subunit ribosomal RNA
Source: RNAcentral